GCCCUCGUAGCUCAGCGGAUAGAGCACCGGCCUCCGGAGCCGGGUGCGCAGGUUCGAGUCCUGCCGAGGGCGCCA
Molecule: transfer RNA, 75 nt
Filed under: Acidimicrobiia bacterium
Lineage: Bacteria; Bacillati; Actinomycetota; Acidimicrobiia
Also listed under: 3 other names
Description: tRNA-Arg
Rfam family: tRNA
About the family: Transfer RNA (tRNA) molecules are approximately 80 nucleotides in length. Their secondary structure includes four short double-helical elements and three loops (D, anti-codon, and T loops). Further hydrogen bonds mediate the characteristic L-shaped molecular structure. tRNAs have two regions of fundamental functional importance: the anti-codon, which is responsible for specific mRNA codon recognition, and the 3' end, to which the tRNAs corresponding amino acid is attached (by aminoacyl-tRNA synthetases). tRNAs cope with the degeneracy of the genetic code in two manners: having more than one tRNA (with a specific anti-codon) for a particular amino acid; and 'wobble' base-pairing, i.e. permitting non-standard base-pairing at the 3rd anti-codon position.
Source: RNAcentral